This 413-nucleotide ribosomal RNA is filed under the name uncultured Actinomycetes bacterium. RNAcentral describes it as "bacterial SSU rRNA". It matches the Rfam family "Bacterial small subunit ribosomal RNA", at positions 9 to 424 of the family's 1533-position model. The record is from RNAcentral. Lineage: Bacteria; Bacillati; Actinomycetota; Actinomycetes.
GAGUUUGAUCCUGGCUCAGGACGAACGCUGGCGGCGUGCUUAACACAUGCAAGUCGAACGGAAAGGCCCAGCUUGCUGGGUACUCGAGUGGCGAACGGGUGAGUAACACGUGGGUGAUCUGCCCCUGACUUUGGGAUAAGCCUGGGAAACUGGGUCUAAUACCGGAUAGGACUACGCGAUGCAUGUCGUGUGGUGGAAAGCUUUUGCGGUGUGGGAUGGGCCCGCGGCCUAUCAGCUUGUUGGUGGGGUGAUGGCCUACCAAGGCGACGACGGGUAGCCGGCCUGAGAGGGUGUCCGGCCACACUGGGACUGAGAUACGGCCCAGACUCCUACGGGAGGCAGCAGUGGGGAAUAUUGCACAAUGGGCGCAAGCCUGAUGCAGCGACGCCGCGUGAGGGAUGACGGCCUCGGUU